AUUGAACGCUGGCGGCAGGCCUAACACAUGCAAGUCGAGCGAGCGGCGGACGGGUGAGUAAUGUCUGGGAAACUGCCUGAUGGAGGGGGAUAACUACUGGAAACGGUGGCUAAUACCGCAUACCAUCAGAUGUGCCCAGAUGGGAUUAGCUAGUAGGUGGGGUAAUGGCUCACCUAGGCGACGAUCCCUAGCUGGUCUGAGAGGAUGAUCAGCCACACUGGGACGGAGACACGGCCCAGACUCCUACGGGAGGCAGCAGUGGGGAAUAUUGCACAAUGGGCGCAAGCCUGAUGCAGCCAUGCCGCGUGUAUGAAGAAGGCCCUAGGGUUGUAAAGUACUUUCAGCCGGGAGGCGUUACCCACAGAAGAAGCACCGGCUAACUCCGUGCCAGCAGCCGCGGUAAUAC
This 406-nucleotide ribosomal RNA is filed under the name uncultured bacterium. RNAcentral's name for it is "partial 16S ribosomal RNA". It matches the Rfam family "Bacterial small subunit ribosomal RNA", at positions 30 to 526 of the family's 1533-position model. The record is from RNAcentral.